Molecule: unclassified non-coding RNA, 1115 nt
Filed under: Hevea brasiliensis (rubber tree)
Lineage: Eukaryota; Viridiplantae; Streptophyta; Magnoliopsida; Malpighiales; Euphorbiaceae
Source: RNAcentral
AUUUGAUACCAUUCCUCAGCAAAAUUCUCCAACAAAAACACCAGUGUAACCUAAGAUUGACUUGAGGGUGCAAUAUCCAUCACACUAACACCAAAAGUUACAAAUGUAAAAAAAGACCAGAAACUUGUUGACAAUAAGAAAAAUCCCUUCACUGAGUAACUCCAAGCCACUUUGUGAAGUUUUCAAACUCGGUGUAGUCGGAAUCUGAAAUCAUUGUCUUGAACCAACCUUUGCCUGCUGACCUGAUAGCUGAUGCUUCCUCCUUAGUGAUUUGAUGCCUCUUCUUGUCAAGUUUCUCCUUCUUAGCCUUGACUCUUUGUGCCUCGGCCAAAAGGGACAUCCUCCUCGCUGUUUUAGCAUAUGGGUUAAGCUUCAACAGCACAUUCAGGUUCUUCAAAGGAUUCUUCUUCAAUGUUGCCCUCUUGGCAUCCUUCUUGAUUGGUCGCACAACAGAUUGAACCUCAUCAGAGUUGAUGAUCCUAGCAAGAUCAGCAUUGGCCAUCUUCGGCCUAGGCAACAGAUAUCCCCUCUUCUUCUGAGAUGGCUUAUCAAAUGUACCGUAAAUCUCAUCCAAUUUCUCAUAUGCAGACUUAGUCCAUACAAUAAACCUUCCCAAAUGACCUCCAGGAGCAAGCUUCAAGAGAUUCAAUCGAUCCACGUGACAGAUUUCAACUCCAGGGAGAUUACGGAAUGCUUUAACAAGCUUAGCCCCUUCAGUUCCAUAAACAAUCAGUGGUCCUUUGCGAGAAAUGUACCUACGGUUACGCAUUUUACCUUUUCCGGGGCGAAUAGCAUGACUAUCCUUAGCUUUCUCAGCAUCAGCAUAAGCUCCAAUUUGCUUCAGGGCCUUGAUUGCAUUAGAAGUCUUCUCAAUACUCUCAACUGAAUCAGAAACAACAAGAGGAAGUUCGGGAACUGAUUCAAUACGAUGUCCACGAGCUAGGACCAGUGAAGGAACUGCAGAUGCAGCAAUGGCAGAAACAACGGCAUGGCGCUUCUGGUUAACCGGGAUCUUACGGUGCCAACGGCGCCAGGUUUUAGUCGGAGCAAACAUCCUACCACCACGACACAUGUUACCAUAAGCAGCUUGUCCAGCACGAUGAGUACCACCACCA